GGCGGAUUGGGUGAGGGGCGCCAAGAUGAACUGGACCAGGGUAAUAAGGGCAUGCACAGACAAAUCAAUAAAUUACCAUCACAACGAAUAGCCCACUGACCCCUGUGGAGGAGUUUGAAAAGCACAAAAACCCAGAAUUGGAUUGAAGGGGCGAUAUGGAAACGCAUGGAGUUUAUUCUGAAGUAAAUCAGAGGUUGGAGGAGAAUGAGACGUUUGGGUGAGGAGGCAAGAAAGAGAACCAGAAUCGGAUAAUUAGUGCUAAUGUGCACAAAGAGCUCGGAAGGACGUGGAAUGGGAUGAGGAAAAGGAAGAAUUCCACACCAAGAAUAAAGCAGCAUACAGAUAAGUUGUUUGUUAAUCUAUUUGCAGGGCGGAGUACGGAGCUUUGAGGUUUGCCUUGGUUGACAGUUGCUCUGGGAGGUAGUUUGGUGGUAGGUCUGAUUGUAAUGAGGGCAGGAAUGGAAAGUGUCGGAAGUGUUGAUGGUUGGACGUGGUGGUUUGGUUCAGUGGUCGUUGCGAAGGAAGGAAGGAAGGUUGAGAUGGUCCGCAGGUUGUUAGGCUUGUCUCUGUCCCGAGCAGCUCUUUGUUUUGAGUUGACGUUUACAGUGCAGGCUUGGAAUGAGGAAUUUAUCAUCUUGAUCAAUACACAACUGAAUAGUUGUAUUUUAUUCAGGGU
This is a long non-coding RNA of Phyllopteryx taeniolatus (common seadragon), 676 nucleotides long. RefSeq lists it as uncharacterized. The record is from RefSeq and is a predicted model, not a curated record. NCBI's taxonomy places the organism in Eukaryota, Metazoa, Chordata, Actinopteri, Syngnathiformes, Syngnathidae. The transcript has 4 exons.